Molecule: ribosomal RNA, 254 nt
Filed under: uncultured bacterium
Lineage: Bacteria
Description: partial 16S ribosomal RNA
Rfam family: Bacterial small subunit ribosomal RNA
Source: RNAcentral
UACGUAGGGGGCGAGCGUUGUCCGGAUUCAUUGGGCGUAAAGAGCUCGUAGGCGGCUUGGUUAGUUGGGUGUGAAACCUCCAGGCUUAACCUGGAGACGCCACUCAAUACUGCCAUGGCUAGAGUCCGGUAGGGGACCACGGAAUUCCUGGUGUAGCGGUGAAAUGCGCAGAUAUCUGGAGGAACACCGGUGGCGAAGGCGGCAUCCUGGACCGGCAUUGACGCUGAGGCGCGAAAGCCAGGGGAGCAAACGGG